This 6322-nucleotide long non-coding RNA is filed under the name Brassica napus (rape). Its description in RNAcentral is "long non-coding RNA (BNAP_LNC025462)". Lineage: Eukaryota; Viridiplantae; Streptophyta; Magnoliopsida; Brassicales; Brassicaceae. The record is from RNAcentral.
GAGCCUAUGAACUUUGAAGAAGCCCAAGAAAAGAAGUCAUGGAGAAGUGCAAUGGAUGAGGAAAUCAAGUCGAUUCAAAAGAAUGAUACAUGGGAGUUAGCUUCACUUCCAAAUGGACACAAGGCAAUUGGUGUAAAGUGGGUGUACAAGGCAAAGAAGAACUCUAAAGGAGAAGUUGAAAGGUACAAGGCAAGAUUGGUGGCAAAAGGCUAUAGUCAAAGAGUCGGGAUCGACUAUGAUGAGGUAUUUGCUCCAGUUGCUCGCUUAGAAACAGUUAGACUAAUCAUUUCAUUGGCGGCCCAAAAGAGUUGGAGGAUACAUCAAAUGGAUGUCAAAUCAGCCUUCUUAAAUGGAGACCUUGAGGAAGAAGUCUACAUUGAGCAACCACAAGGCUACAUAGUUAAAGGAGAAGAAGACAAAGUCUUAAGGCUGAAGAAGGCGCUUUAUGGAUUAAAGCAAGCACCAAGAGCAUGGAACACUCGGAUUGAUAAGUACUUCAAGGAGAAAGGCUUCAUCAAGUGUCCAUAUGAGCAUGCACUUUAUAUCAAAACUCAAAACAAUGAUAUAUUGAUUGCAUGCUUAUAUGUUGAUGACUUGAUAUUCACUGGCAACAAUCCGAUUAUGUUUGAAGAUUUCAAGAUGGAGAUGACAAAGGAGUUCGAGAUGACCGACAUUGGAUUGAUGUCAUACUACCUUGGCAUUGAAGUAAAGCAAGAAGAAAAUGGAAUCUUCAUUACUCAAGAAGGCUAUGCUAAAGAGGUGCUUAAGAAGUUCAAGAUGGAUGACUCAAAUCCAGUUUGCACGCCAAUGGAAUGUGGAGUCAAGUUAUCAAAGGAAGAAGAAGGAGAGAGUGUGGAUCCAACACUCUUUAAGAGUUUGGUUGGAAGCUUACGAUAUCUAACGUGCACAAGGCCCGACAUCCUACACGCAGUUGGAGUUGUGAGUCGAUACAUGGAGCAUCCAACAACAACUCAUUUCAAGGCAGCCAAGAGGAUCCUACGCUAUAUCAAAGGUACAAUCAACUUUGGCUUGUAUUACUCCAUUUCUGACGAUUACAAGCUUGUUGGAUAUAGAGAUAGCGAUUGGAGUGGAGACGUAGAUGACCAGAAAAGUACAAGUGGCUUUGUGUUUUUCAUUGGAGAAACCGCUUUCACAUUGAUGUCAAAGAAGCAACCAAUAGUCACCCUAUCUACUUGUGAAGCGGAGUAUGUGGCAGCUACUUCAUGUGUUUGCCAUGCUAUUUGGCUACAAUACUUGCUAAAGGAGUUGAACCUACCACAAGAAGAGCCAACGAAGAUCUUUGUGGAUAACAAGUCGGCAAUAGCAUUGGCGAAAAAUCCAGUUUUCCAUGAUCGAAGUAAGCACAUCGACACUCGUUAUCACUACAUUCGAGAAUGUUUUACUAUGAUGGAUGUGUAAUUGGAGUAUGUGAAGACAAAUGAUCAAGUAGAUGAUAUCUUCACCAAGUCACUCAAGUGAGAAGACUUCAUCAAGAUGAGGAGCUUACUAGGAGUAACCAAAUUAAGUUUAAGAAGGGGUGUUGAAAGUUAAACUUGAUUUGGAUCACAUUUUGGGCUAACAAUUCACUAAUCAUGCUUAGCCCAAACUUAGCCCAAUAUCUAGAAUUAUCCUACACCUCCUUAGAAUAAAAAUCUAGAUAUUCUCAUAGAAUUAUCUAGAUAAUUAGGAUAAAAAAUCUGAGAUAUUAUGCUAGAAUUCUCUAGAUUUAGGAUUAAAAUAUGUAAGAUAUUUUAUAAUUUGGAGGCUAUAAAUACCUCCACUUCCCUUCAUUUUGUAUCAUCAAGAAGUAUCCAAGUUUGUAAGAAACUUUCAAGUAAUAAGAAAUCUUCUUAAGUUAUAAAAAGCUUUCUUCUUCACACAAAACACUUUCUCUUCAAACACUUAAACACUUUCUCCAUCUCUAUAAAGUUUUUCAUUCCAUCAAAGUGGUAUCAAAGCUACAAGUUCCUUUUGAAGAUGGCAAAUAGUGGUGUUCCCUUCCAAGUUCCAUUGCUCACAAAGAGCAACUAUUACAAUUGGAGUCUUAGGAUGAUGGCUAUCUUAGGAGCACAUGAUGUGUGGGAGAUAGUUGAGAAAGGCUUCAGUGAACCGGAGAAUGAUGCUGGUCUAUCUCAAACUCAAAAGGAUGGUUUGAGAGAUUCAAGGAAGAGAGACAAGAAGACUCUCUGUCUAAUCUAUCAAGGAUUAGAUGAAGAUACAUUUGAGAAGGUUGCUGGAGCAAAGACGUCUAAAGAAGCAUGGGAGAACUUUCGGACAUCUUACAAGGGAGCGGAACAAGUUAAGAAGGUACGACUUCAAACUCUAAGAGGAGAAUUUGAAGCAUUACAAAGGAAGGAGAACUCAUCUCAGAUUACUUCUCAAGAGUCUUGACGGUUACUAAUAACCUAAAAAGAAAUGGUGAGAAGUUAGAUGAGGUGAGAAUCAUGGAGAAAGUUCUUAAAUCAUUGGAUUCAAAAUUUGAGCACAUUGUUACGGUGAUUGAAGAGACAAAAGACUUGGAGACUAUGACGAUGGAUCAACUUCUUGGAUCACUACAAGCUUAUGAAGAAAAGAAGAAGAAGAAAGAAGAUAUUGUGGAGCAAGUUCUCAAGAUGAGAAUUGAUUACAAGGAAGAAAGUGGCCGAAACAAUCCAAGACGUGGUGGCGGUCAUUUCAGAGGACGAGGUCGUGGUGUAAAUGGACGAGGUUGGAGACCAUAUGAAGAAAACUUCAACCAAAGAGGAGAGAACUCAUCAAGAGGUCGUGGAAGAGGAAAUCCAAAAUCAAGGUACGAUAAAUCAAGCAUCAAAUGCUAUAGUUGCGGGAAGUUUGGACAUUAUGCUUCUGAAUGCAAAACUCCAAACAACAAUAGAGUUGAAGAGAAAUUCAACUAUUUUGAAGAAAGGAAAAAAAGAAGAAGAUAUGCUAUUGAUGGCUUACAAGAAGGAUGAACCAAAUGAGGUUCACAAGUGGUACCUUGAUAGUGGUGCAAGCAACCACAUGUGUGGGAAUAAAAGCAUGUUCAUGGAGCUUGAUGAAUCGGUGAAAACCAAUGUGGCUUUGGGAGAUGAAUCGAAGAUGGAGGUGAAAGGUAAAGGAAAUAUUCUUAUCCGCUUAAAGAAUGGAGAUCAUCAAUUCAUUUCCAACGUUUACUACAUUCCAAGCAUGAAUACCAACAUCUUGAGCCUAGGACAAAUCUUAGAGAAAGGUUAUGACAUUCGACUAAAAAAUAAUAGCAUUUCUUUAUGAGAUAAAGAAAAUAAUCUCAUCACAAAGGUGCCGAUGUCAAACAAUAGAAUGUUUGUCCUAAACAUUCAAAAUGACAUUGCAAGAUGUCUCAAGAUGUGCUACAAGGAGGAAUCUUGUCUUUGGCAUCUUCGAUUUGGGCAUCUCAACUUUGGAAGCUUAGAGCUACUUUCCAAGAAAGAAAUGGUGAAAGGAUUACCUUGCAUCAAUCAUCCAAAUCAAGUGUGUGAAGGUUGCUUACUUGGAAAGCAAUUCAAGAUGAGUUUUCCAAAAGAGUCGGAGACAAGAGCAAGAAAGCCACUAGAACUCAUUCAUACAGAUGUAUGUGGUCCGAUCAAACCAAGUUCACUUGGUAAGAGUAACUAUUUCUUUCUCUUUAUUGAUGACUUUUCAAGAAAAAACAUGGAUUUAUUUCUUGAAACAAAAAUCAGAAGUGUUUGAAAAUUUCAAAAAGUUCAAAGCCCAUGUUGAGAAGGAAAAUGGUCUUAAGAUCAAGUCCAUGAGAUCGGAUCAAGGAGGAAAAUUUAUGUCCAAGGAGUUUCUGAAAUAUUUUGAAGAUAAUGGCAUUCGAAGACAGUUGACGGUGCCAAGAACCCCUCAACAAAAUGGAGUAGGGGAAAGAAAGAAUAGGACAAUACUUGAGAUGGCAAGAAGCAUGCUCAAGAGUAAGAAGCUACCAAAGAAGUUGUGGGCAGAAGCAGUUGCUUGUGCGGUUUAUAUAUCAAACCGUUCUCCAACAAAGAGUGUUUUAGAAAAGACACCACAAGAAGCUUGGAGCGGAAGGAAGCCUGGAGUCUCACACCUAAGAGUCUUUGGAAGCAUUGCUCACGCUCAUGUUCCAGACGAGAAGCAGAGCAAACUAGAUGAUAAAAGUGAGAAGUACAUCUUCAUUGGGUAUGACGCUAACUCCAAAGGCUACAAGCUUUACAAUCCUGAAACAAAGAAGACAAUCAUUAGUCGGAAUGUCAUCUUUGAUGAAGAAGGAGAAUGGGAGUGGAGAUCAAAUGAUGAAGACUACAACUUCUUUCCAUCCUUUUAAGAAGAGAAUGUGGAGCAACCGAGAGAAGAGCCAGCUACACCACCAACUUCAUCAACAACAAGUUCUCAAGGAGAUGAAAGCUCAAGUGAAAGGACUCCACGUUUUAGAAGUCUACAAGACAUCUACGAGGUAACCGAAAAUCAAGACAAUCUUACUCUAUUUUGUCUAUUUGCGGAUUGCGAGCCUAUGAACUUUGAAGAAGCCCAAGAAAAGAAGUCAUGGAGAAGUGCAAUGGAUGAGAAAAUCAAGUCGAUUCAAAAGAAUGAUGCAUGGGAGUUAGCUUCACUUCCAAAUGGACACAAGGCAAUUGGUGUAAAGUGGGUGUACAAGGCAAAGAAGAACUCUAAAGGAGAAGUUGAAAGGUACAAGGCAAGAUUGGUGGCAAAAGGCUAUAGUAAAAGAGCCGGAAUCGACUAUGAUGAGGUAUUUGCUCCAGUUGCUUGCUUAGAAACGGUUAGACUAAUCAUUUCAUUGGCGGCCCCAAAGAGUUGGAGGAUACAUCAAAUGGAUGUAAAAUCAACCUUCUUAAAUGGAGACCUUGAAGAAGAAGUCUACAUUGAGCAACCAGAAGGCUACAUAGUCAAAGGAGAAGAAGACAAAGUCAUAAGGCUGAAGAAGGCGCUUUAUGAAUUAAAGCAAGCACCAAGAGCAUGGAACACUCGGAUUGAUAAGUACUUCAAGGAGAAAGGCUUCAUCAAGUGUCCAUAAGAGCAUGCACUUUAUAUCAAAACUCAAAACAAUGAUAUAUUGAUAGCAUGCUUAUAUGGCUUAGAAACGGUUAGACUAAUCAUUUCAUUGGCGGCCCCAAAGAGUUGGAGGAUACAUCAAAUGGAUGUAAAAUCAACCUUCUUAAAUGGAGACCUUGAAGAAGAAGUCUACAUUGAGCAACCAGAAGGCUACAUAGUCAAAGGAGAAGAAGACAAAGUCAUAAGGCUGAAGAAGGCGCUUUAUGAAUUAAAGCAAGCACCAAGAGCAUGGAACACUCGGAUUGAUAAGUACUUCAAGGAGAAAGGCUUCAUCAAGUGUCCAUAAGAGCAUGCACUUUAUAUCAAAACUCAAAACAAUGAUAUAUUGAUAGCAUGCUUAUAUGUUGAUGACUUGAUAUUCACUGGCAACAAGCCGAUUAUGUUUGAAGAUUUCAAGAUGGAGAUGACAAAGGAGUUCGAGAUGACCGACAUUGGACUAAUGUCAUACUACCUUGGCAUUGAAGUACAGCAAGAAGAAAAUGGAAUCUUCAUUACUCAAGAAGGCUAUGCAAAAGAGGUGCUUAAGAAGUUCAAGAUGGAUGACUCAAAUCCAGUUUGCACGCCAAUGGAAUGUGGAGUCAAGUUGUCAAAGGAAGAAGAAGGAGAGAGUGUGGAUCCAAACCUCUUUAAGAGUUUAAUUGGAAGCUUACGAUAUCUAACGUGCACAAGGCCCGACAUCCUACACACAGUUGGAGUUAUGAGUCGAUACAUGGAGCAUCCAACAACAACUCAUUUCAAGGCAGCCAAGAGGAUCCUACGCUAUAUCAAAGGUACAAUCAACUUUGGCUUGUACUACUCCAUUUAUGACGAUUACAAGCUUGUUGGAUAUAGCGAUAGCGAUUGGGGUGGAGACGUAGAUGACCGGAAAAGUACAAGUGGCUUUGUGUUUUUCAUUGGAGAAACCGCUUUCACAUGGAUGUUAAAGAAGCAACCAAUAGUCACCCUUUCUACUUGUGAAGCGGAGUAUGUGGCAGCUACUUCAUGUGUUUGCCAUGCUAUUUGGCUACGAUACUUGCUAAAGGAGUUGAACCUACCACAAGAGGAGCCAACGAAGAUCUUUGUGGAUAACAAGUCGGCAAUUGCAUUGGCGAAAAAUCCAGUUUUCCAUGAUCGAAGUAAGCACAUCGACACUCGUUAUCACUACAUUCGAGAAUGUGUUACUAAGAUGGAUGUGGAAUUGGAGUAUGUGAAGACAAAUGAUCAAGUAGAUGAUAUCUUCACCAAGUCACUCAAGCGAGAAGACUUCAUCAAGAUGAGGAGCUUACUAGGAGUAACCAAAUCAAGUUUAAGA